CCGCAGCCGCGGUAGACAUAGGGGGCGAGCGUUAUCCGGAAUUAUUGGGUAAAAGGGUGCGUAGGCGGUUAGGAAAGUCUAUAAUUUAAUUUCAAUGCUUAACGCUGUCUUGUUAUAAAAACUACCUUGACUAGAGUUAGAUAGAGGCAAGCGGAAUUCCAUGUGUAGCGGUAAAAUGUGUAAAUAUAUGGAGGAACACCAGAAGCGUAGGCGGCUUGCUGGGUCUUGACUGACGCUGAGGCACGAAAGCGUGGGUAGCAAACAGGAUUAGAUACCCUGGUAGUCCACGCCGUAAACGAUGAGUACUAAGUGUCGGGAUAAAACUCGGUACUGAAGUUAACACAUUAAGUACUCCGCCUGAGUAGUACGUACGCAAGUAUGAAACUUAAAGGAAUUGACGGGACUCCGCACAAGCGGUGGAUCAUGUUGUUUAAUUCGAAGAUACACGAAAAAUCUUACCAGGUCUUGACAUGCUCUGCAAAGUUAUAGAAA
RNAcentral lists this ribosomal RNA (492 nucleotides) under Leafhopper (Cicadellidae) ash yellows phytoplasma. RNAcentral's name for it is "bacterial SSU rRNA". It matches the Rfam family "Bacterial small subunit ribosomal RNA", at positions 509 to 1006 of the family's 1533-position model. The record is from RNAcentral. Lineage: Bacteria; Bacillati; Mycoplasmatota; Mollicutes; Acholeplasmatales; Acholeplasmataceae.